CUUGGUAAUACAGGACGAAUCAAACUCCCUCCACCCUUAACAGAGGUCUCGGGUUCAAGCCUAGGAAUGGAACAAUUCCCAUCAAAUGAUUCAUACACAAAUCUAGAUAAAUUAGCCCAAUGGGUUGUGAUAACUAAGGCGAAAACCAGAAAAGUGAGACAUACUAUAGUCUCCUCACUUAAAUGCAGAUCAAACCAACAAAUUGAAACAUACAAACACACACAUAAAAUUGAUGAUCCAUCCUGUCCCAGCUUACAGUGUGACUCAAAUCAUAAUACUUUUCUUUCUAAUAGUAAUUAAAAUAAAUGAUAUGACACCUGAGCCUACAUCCUUUUAACUCAAACCACAAAACUAGCUCGUUAGUACAUAUGCUUAAAUCACCCGGUCCAUUUCCCAAUUACAGGGCAACAAGAAAAGGAGAUCCAUCAAGAGAUAUCAACUAGUUGACCAACUUGAAAUAAACCAACUUUACUAAAACCCAAGUAGCAUUAAACUAACAAGUAGAUAUCACAAAAAAGGAAAUUGAAUGAACAACAGAUCUAGAUUGAAAACCAAAAAAACCUGUUGAUAUGAGCACAGAUAUGCAUAUUUUGGUCAUCCUCCAUAUUUUUUUUGCAGGUAAAAAGAAAUGGAAGAAAUUUAGGUGUACGGAUGAUUAUGAACCAUUGGAGAAAUGAAGAAAUUAUAGAUGGGGGUGAGGGUGAC
RNAcentral lists this unclassified non-coding RNA (705 nucleotides) under Hevea brasiliensis (rubber tree). The record is from RNAcentral. Lineage: Eukaryota; Viridiplantae; Streptophyta; Magnoliopsida; Malpighiales; Euphorbiaceae.